UUGGAUGUUAUCAGCCACCAGUGUGGGGGUAGUGAUGAGUCUUUUGAAUAUCCUUUCAUUCCUAGCCUUCCAAAUCUCCCACAAUGUACUGUAGCAUAUGUUGAUUAUAACCUUCAUAUUCUUCCUACAUGUGUCGUGUUUUGCUGCAUAUUCGAUCGGCUCUCCCACCGUGUUAAGUUGAAUUUGAGGCAUGUUGCACCAUUCCCAUACAGUUUUCGCAAAGGUGCAGUUGAGUAGGAUGUGAUUUGGGCUUUCAUCCAUUGCCAUACAAUAUCCACAUUGGAUUGAUUCUACGGUUAUGCCUCUCUUAGCUAGUUCAGUGGCUGCCGGUAUCCUUCCUAGACUUGCUCUCCAUAUAAAAGAAAGAAAUUUAAUAGGAAUUUCUUUCAUCCAUUCAACUUUAACUUGAGGUACCAGAUUUGUAGGCCAAUCAAUCAUAUAUAUGCCGUCACCUGAUAAUUCGAAACUCCAUUUAUCUCCAGUUGUUGUUGGCUGAAAUUGACCCAAGGAAGGAAGAGUAGAGAGCUGCAAGGUCAGUGUUGUUCGGACUAUUUUUCCAAUUCCAUUCCAAUCCAGUGAUCUUCACUCUAUCCUCCACAGUGCAUAUUUAUUAGUAAAUCAAAAACAAUUCAAAAAAUUAACUUGGCUGGUUAAUAAUAGGUAAUUAAUUAAUGCUUAAGAUUCUAAUUAAAUUCAUGAUCUUCAAGCGGUUGGGGGCACAAACGGUUCGUUUGACUACAAAGUGAGUGCCAGUGGUGCCUGAACUCUUCGUAUUUGUUUCUUUCUUCUUUGUAUCCAAUUUUUCAGUUUUGUUCCUCAGAACACUUGUUUUGUUGACAUUAAGAGGAUCUUAACCAUUUUCCUCUGGCGCUCCAAGAGUAAAAUAAAUUGAUUUCAAGAAAUUAGUGACAGCGGGAAGAAGACGAUGAUGUCAGAGAGCAAGCGUUCUCCUUCCCAUGCUCUCCAUUUUUUCUUCAGUUGUCCAUUGUAUAAACCCACAUUACCCAUACUCAUAGUUUCCAUCCGAUGAUCAAUAGUACAUAAACAUUCGCUGUACAUCUCACGCCACCUAGCCUCCUGCUUCCAUCUUCUUUUUCCCUUCUUGAUCCAAUGCUUCACUUAACUUCUCCUCUACCGCCUCUGUUUCUUGAAACUGAAGCCUCUCACCCCAAAUAUCAACUUAUACGCCCCACUCCCACUGAAGCGAAGACUUGAAAUAUUCUUUUGGUUUGAUCUCAGCUAAUCAAACGUCCAGAAUCUUGAAGCAAAGCAGAGAAAUAACGAAUGAUUAUCAUCGUGGUUUUCCAUUUUUUCUUCGACAUCUUUGCUUUCACCCAAAUCAACGCCUCUCACAGGCUCCUGCGCAGACGAUGGCCAUAGUGGACGGAGGGUUUCUUUGUGUUAGUCUGAUUCCACUAUUUGUUUCCCAAUUUCACAAUCUUGAGGUAUUUUUGAACCCUGUUGGUUUUAAUUUGUUAUUUGGGAAUGCAAUAGGUUCUUCCAAGGUCUGAGCUCAUACAGAUAGGUUCUGAAGAGCGUUUAUUGCUAAUUAUAGAGGUAUAUUUUGUUUCUUUUCAUCUUCUUGACUUAGGUGGGAUAUGUUGAUUCUUGGAUUACAUGCUGAAAUACAUGCAAUGCCAAAUCUCAAUUAUCAAGUCUUCAAUUGAAGUAUGUUCGAAUCUAUGUAUGUGUACCACAUGUACAAUUGUGAUUUUGUACAUAUUCUCAUGUUGGUUUUUCCUUUUAGAUAUUGUUCAAUAAUCUUGAUUUGGACAUGAAGACAGGGUUAGGAAAAAUGAAGGAAACCCUGAUUUCUGUUGGUACAUCUCAACAAAAUACUGUAAAUUAAGGUGAAUUACCACAUAUUAUAUACCAGGUUUGUUUUCUAUAUAUGUUUUUGUUUUUAGAGUAUUCAAGCUAUUUCACUAUCUGAUUUGCUGCUGUUUUUUAUUUUGGUGGACAGCAUGCUACAUGUUGAAGAUAUGAACAUGCUUCUAUUUUUCUGUUUUGAUUGCAACUGCUAACUAGAUAAUUAAAAACUGUUUGCUGAAAAACAUAUUAUUUACUUUUUCAGGGUGCUUCCAAUGGUAAUGGAUAAGGCUAUUAAUGAAAUAUUGUAAGAAGAGUGUUUCAAACAACAAUGGCACUUGUUUUAAAGUUAGUUCUUUGUUUUGAAUCCUCCAAAUUCUGAUGAGAACUAUAUCCAUACUUAGCUUGAAAUCUGUCUCUUAUAUUACUAUCAAGGUUCAUUGUUAAGCAUUUUCUGUUUUGUUCAUGUGUGAUUGAUUGUGUAUUAUUUUCAGAUAAGAAACUAAGAUCUCUACAGGGUUUGAAUAAUGCAAGUGAAUCCCUUGAACAUGCCAUGCAACGUGUUAAUGUGUUAUUGAUGACAACCUUGAGUUUUUUUUAAUCUUGUUAUAUGCAUUGCAUCCUGUGUUUAUAUUGAUUGAUGCAUGUGCUAAUAAAUAAUACUACAAAAUGAAAUUACUAUGUAACAUUUAUAGUUUUAAUUAUGAAUGUCCAAAAGGUAGGUAACUUAUAAUCUUUUACUCUUUGCUUAUAAUCGUCUGAUAAGUGCUAAGUUCUGAAUAUAUUUAGCUGCACAAGUUUUUCCAUUUAAAAUUCCAUUCAUCACAGCUAUGGUUUUAACUAUAAUAUAUGACACAUAGGGGCAACAACAUAAUUUUUUUACAUAUGUUCUAGAAAAAAAAAACAUUCCAAUAAGGUAGGUCACUUGUUGACCGGUUUAACUGUUAAGUCUUUGGUGACAUGGUGUCAUGCAUUUGACAAUUCUAUGACCUUUGAUGACAUGUCAAAUGCAUGCCAUGUCAUGUCACCAAAACUUAGCGGUUAUUUAACUGGGAAUAGAGUAUUUUCCAGUGGAACCAAUUUUCAAACAAGUUGAAUAAAGAAAAGCUAAUAAUAUAUAUAUAUGAUUCUUUCUUGUUAAUGAGAUCCAGUUUUAUGUUUGGAUGAUUGUUACAGGUGAGUGACACAGCAAGGAUGAUGCAUGGUGCAUUUAAUUAUAUGUUCCGAACCAUUGACAUGACAGCUACUAAUUCAUUAAUCAACACUCUUUCACCGACUCACCUAAUAAUUUCUCUCAUCUUAAUAUUCUUCAUUUUUAAGUCCUUAAUUUAUCAAUCUAAUCAUUAUUAAUUUCAUUCUUUUAAUGUAAAACCAGGUGUCUAUGACUGGUUUUCCACUUUUCACUGGCUAUGCCCACAGUGGAGUUUUUUUGCCAGUUUGAUUCCACCAUUUGUUUCUCAAUUUCAGAAUCUUUAGGAACAUGCCACCUGAAACCAUGGUGGGCCCCUUCAAAGCCAAUCUCAUGUAGAAGCCAACAUCUCCAAUGUUUAAUUUCUUGAAUCAUUAUCAUGGUGUUUAAAAAAAGUUAAACAAUUACAUCAAUAUAUAGAAAGCAAUUUUGGUAAAAUUUCUUAGGUUUAUAUGCAAGAAAAAAGAUUGCACUAUUCCAUUACAUUUUCAGUUUUUCCCUUAUUAAAGUUAUGCUUUCAAUCCUCUUAUUUAUUGCAAAAAAUUCAUUUUAAAAAGUUUACCUAUUACAUUGAUUAUGUAUGACUUAUGUUUUGUGGUAUGUGUUUGUAGGAUUUUUCACAUGUUACAGGAAAGAUAAAGAAGAAAUUUUCUUUAUUUAUAUUAUGUCAUGUCCCGCUGCUGUAAUUCUUUUUCACUUUCCAUUUACUUAUUGAUACAAUUACAUCUGAGUUGAUACUAAACAUUUUUAUAUUUCCACUUUUAUAGUGGGGAUUCAAGUAUAUCCAGAAAUAGCAAAAUACUUUAAUUUCUUACUCCAA
Molecule: non-coding RNA, 3818 nt
Organism: Lactuca sativa (garden lettuce)
Lineage: Eukaryota; Viridiplantae; Streptophyta; Magnoliopsida; Asterales; Asteraceae
Source: RefSeq, a predicted model, not a curated record